Long non-coding RNA from Daphnia pulex (common water flea), 229 nucleotides. RefSeq lists it as uncharacterized. The transcript is spliced from 3 exons. NCBI's taxonomy places the organism in Eukaryota, Metazoa, Arthropoda, Branchiopoda, Diplostraca, Daphniidae. The record is from RefSeq and is a predicted model, not a curated record.
CAGUUGUGGAAAUUGAACCUUGGAAUAACGUGCUGGUGGAGUUGAGCUUUCCGUUGCUGCCCAACAUAAAUAUGGAUUUGAAGCAGCCAUCUGAUAAAGGGUGUUCCUCUUGCUACCUGUACUGUUGUGUGUUUCAUCACACGAAGAAACACUUAGCUACAAUUGAAGUUUAGCGUUUAUGUUCGCGUAGUUGCUGUCCGAUGUGGCACGUUGUUGCAGCCUAUGCUGG